RNAcentral lists this long non-coding RNA (1559 nucleotides) under Daphnia pulex (common water flea). Its description in RNAcentral is "uncharacterized LOC124208537". The record is from RNAcentral. Lineage: Eukaryota; Metazoa; Arthropoda; Branchiopoda; Diplostraca; Daphniidae.
GUAAGAAAUUCAUAGAAUAGGAAAUUUAUUAGAAAAUAGUCGAAUUACGAAAUAUCACCAGGGCGGUCAGGACUGGAGAGAUUUGAAACCAUGACCAGAGCCCUCUAGUGGCAACAGUGUCAGUAGACGAAAGUUUGUUUGCUGUAACGUUAGAUGGCAAUAUGACAAAUCCAAUGUCAUUUCUUCUAAAGACACUGAGCGGAAAGGUUACUCAUUCUUUAUUAUUGCAGGUUAUUCAAUCUUACAGUUACUCAUUCAUUCUGGUGUGUUUUUUCCAUGUUUUUUUACUGACAUACUUGGUGUGUUGAAACUGCUAUCCAUUUUUUCCAAAAUGUCUCUUGCUCGUUUCGUCACUUUCAGAACAAUUAAAGUAAUUAUAGUUGAUCGCUACAGAUUUAGUUAAUGACAAGAGAGUAGACCCCUUUGCUUCUCUGUUGCAAUUAUGAGUUAAGAUCAUUUUUUAAAAUUUGGAUUACAUUUGUUAUUUUCAAGUUGGAAAACUUGACAACUACAAAUUCCUUUGUAAGAUUUAUCAAGGUAAUUCUGAGAGAUUGUAUAGUUUAACUUCAUACUUCUGUCGUUUUGUUAUGUCACAUGAGAUUAUGUUCCUUGAUAGUAACUUAACUUUGUUUUUCAAUAGCCAGGUGAAGUCUGCGCUUCUUUGUUGCAGUCUCAUGUGCGCAUGGAUUUUUUGUUGCAGUCAUCCAGUGAAAGGUGUGAUUAAAUUGAGCUGUUGCAUGCAGUCUUUGGUGCUGAUGUUGUCCUGGAGUGUGGGAGAGUUCCAUGCAUGCUUCAAGUCUUCUGGGAUCAGCCAUAUCUGAGUUGACGCUGGAUCAUGCUGCAUUGUGGUUGCCGAAAUGUUGGACAUCUAGUAGAACUGCAAGAAGACUCCUUGAAAUGGUUUAUGUUUACGUAGCAGUGAUGUUGCUGUCCAAUAUGGCAUGUUGUUGCAGCCUAUACUGGUGAAAGUUUUUUUGCAUCGAGUUAUGCUGUUGCUGUUCCUUGGUGCCGGACUGCUGGUGUUGUGCACAAAAGUUACAUCCAGUUUUAAUUGUUAUUUGUGUCUAUGCAGUUAACCGUUUAUUUGUUGAAAAGGAACAGAAAAGUUUCUUGGUGCUGAAUCGCUGGUGUUGUGCUACAUCAGUUACAUCCAGUAUUUUGUUUAAUUGAUAUUUGCGUCUAUGAAGUUAACCGUUUAUAUGUUGAGAAUGAAAAAAAUAGUAAUACGGGGAAUUUUUACGUUGAACAAAUAAUAAACAUGCCUUCGCGAUUGGGAAACCAGCGAGGAGGAGAUUGGGGGGGAGGGGGGCAAUUGAUUUUCAUUUCGUGGUUUGUUUUAAUAACGUUGACAUAAAAUCCUUUGUCUAUCACAUCCAUAUACCUACCUAUAUAACAACAUCUAUUCCUUAAACCCCAUAACAUCCACCAACAUCCAUUCCUUAAACCCCAUAUCUUCCACCAACACCCAUUUCUUGAACCCCAUUUCCCCACAAAUGUCAAAUAUCUAUAAUAUGUAAAUGUUAUUGUUGAAUAAAUAAACCAUCUAUGUAAUAUAUAAA